AUAAAUCCAUAAGUCCAUAAAAUUAUAAAUCCAUACUACAUAAAAUAUGCCAUGAAAUUAUAAAUCCAAAUUCUAAACUGCAUAGAAGUCCAUACAAACGGCAAACAUCACUUCAUAAACUAAUAAAAGUCUACACACAUAACACAUUUUGCCAUUCCUAUAUAAAAGUCCACACAUUAAAACACCAUACAUUACACACAGGUUAAGAGCAGCCCAUAAUGGAUUAAAAUCCAAUGCGAAAUAAGGUUCAUGAAGGAUUAAAAUCCAUGCAAAACACA
This 278-nucleotide unclassified non-coding RNA is filed under the name Hevea brasiliensis (rubber tree). Lineage: Eukaryota; Viridiplantae; Streptophyta; Magnoliopsida; Malpighiales; Euphorbiaceae. The record is from RNAcentral.